Molecule: unclassified non-coding RNA, 148 nt
Organism: Pongo abelii (Sumatran orangutan)
Lineage: Eukaryota; Metazoa; Chordata; Mammalia; Primates; Hominidae
Rfam family: Metazoan signal recognition particle RNA
About the family: The signal recognition particle (SRP) is a universally conserved ribonucleoprotein.
Source: Ensembl
GCUGGGCAUGGUGGCGCAUGCCUGUAGUCCCAGCUACUCGGGAGGCUGAGGCAGAAGAAUUGCUUGAACCCAGGAGACAGAGGUUGCAGUGAGCCGAAAGCAUGCCACUGCACUCCAGCCUGGGUGACAGAGCAAGACUCCAUCUCAA